AGAGUUUGAUCAUGGCUCAGAUUGAACGCUGGCGGCAGGCUUAACACAUGCAAGUCGAACGGUAACAGAAGAGCUUGCUCUUGCUGACGAGUGGCGGACGGGUGAGUAAUGUAUGGGGAUCUGCCGAAUGGAGGGGGACAACAGUUGGAAACGACUGCUAAUACCGCAUAAUGUCGCGAGACCAAAGCGUGGGACUUUCGGGCCACGUACCAUUUGAUGAACCCAUAUGGGAUUAGCUAGUAGGUGGGGUAAUGGCUCACCUAGGCGACGAUCUCUAGCUGGUCUGAGAGGAUGACCAGCCACACUGGAACUGAGACACGGUCCAGACUCCUACGGGAGGCAGCAGUGGGGAAUAUUGCACAAUGGGGGAAACCCUGAUGCAGCCAUGCCGCGUGUAUGAAGAAGGCCUUAGGGUUGUAAAGUACUUUCGGUGAUGAGGAAGGUAACAAUUCUAACAGGAUUGUUAAUUGACGUUAAUUACAGAAGAAGCACCGGCUAACUCCGUGCCAGCAGCCGCGGUAAUACGGAGGGUGCGAGCGUUAAUCGGAAUGACUGGGCGUAAAGGGCAUGUAGGCGGAUGAUUAAGUUAGGUGUGAAAGCCCCGAGCUCAACUUGGGAAUUGCACUUAAAACUGGUCGUCUGGAGUAUUGUAGAGGAAGGUAGAAUUCCACGUGUAGCGGUGAAAUGCGUAGAGAUGUGGAGGAAUACCGGUGGCGAAGGCGGCCUUCUGGACAGAUACUGACGCUGAGAUGCGAAAGCGUGGGGAGCAAACAGGAUUAGAUACCCUGGUAGUCCACGCUGUAAACGAUGUCGAUUUGGAGUUUGGAGGCAUGACCUCUGGGCUCCGGAGCUAACGCAUUAAAUCGACCGCCUGGGGAGUACGGCCGCA
Molecule: ribosomal RNA, 889 nt
Filed under: Heliconius numata bicoloratus
Lineage: Eukaryota; Metazoa; Arthropoda; Insecta; Lepidoptera; Nymphalidae
Description: bacterial SSU rRNA
Rfam family: Bacterial small subunit ribosomal RNA
Source: RNAcentral